This 510-nucleotide unclassified non-coding RNA is filed under the name Hevea brasiliensis (rubber tree). Lineage: Eukaryota; Viridiplantae; Streptophyta; Magnoliopsida; Malpighiales; Euphorbiaceae. The record is from RNAcentral.
GGUUACUUUGGCAUCCUUGGAAGUAAGCCUUCUUCUUUGUUAUACUGUUCCCCUUUUAUUUUUGUGCCUUAAUUUGAUUUCGCUAUGCUUUUCAUUAAUAUUUUUUCAUUGGUUUUAUAAACUUGUUUUGGUAGGCAUUUUGGUGAUGUUUUUACAAUUUAUACCCUUUCACACUCAUUACUUUUAGUUAAACUUCUUGCAGACUCAAAUUGACUAGUAAAUGUAGUAAAAAUACAGAUCAUUAUCAACUUGAUAAUUAGUGUUUAACUUUGAUGAUCUUCAUUAUUUGUUACAUGGUCUACAUAAUGUAGAAUAAUAUGAGCCUUUUGCAUUUUUUAGCAGGUUAUUUGUUGGGGUUAAUGCUUCAAAAUAACUGCAACCGUUAGUACUUACAUUUUGGAUAAGGUUUAAAUGCUUUAGGAAUCUACUAUAAUUUGACACGAGAAUGAGUCAAUAGAAUGCUAAAGCUUUGGAGAAGUAUUUUAGAGUUAAAGAGCUUUAAGUUAAGCA